Pimephales promelas (fathead minnow) is the source of this 4206-nucleotide non-coding RNA. NCBI's taxonomy places the organism in Eukaryota, Metazoa, Chordata, Actinopteri, Cypriniformes, Leuciscidae. The record is from RefSeq and is a predicted model, not a curated record.
GUGGAGCGCGCAGCUCACUCGCUGUCUGCGGGUUCAUGCACAGCUGGACGGACGCGCGCUUUCCCUGUCCGUGGUCCCGAACGCGCUCCCGCACCUAUAGUGCUGGCUUCCACCGCUCCACGUUUAUUUUUUCUUCUUCUGUCUUUUUCAUUUUUCUCAUUCUGUCUUUUUCAAGGGUGAAUUCUGAUGGAUUAUUCUCGUUUGUGAUUUCAAAUAUAGGCUAGCUAAUCGACAAAAAUGGAAAAGCGAGGAAUAACAGAAGUCGGAAAGGGAGUUUCGAAGGACAUUUCAGUGACUGUGGAACAAGAUUUUAAUUGAUUGAUUGAUCGUGGUGUUUUGUAAGUCGUCUACACGGAAUAAAAACGCAUUUUUUUUUUUUACUGGGUCAAAAAAUACUGCUCAGGUUUCCACACUCAAGGAAUAUGCUGAAAUAUCUUACAGCCAAUUCAAAUUAAAAUCUCUUAUUCAUUUUGAGUGGAAUAUUAUUUUUGGAGAUGGAUACGGUGAAGGAACGAGUUUUGGCUCCCGGUAAGGAGAGAUUGAGGAAUCUGGCCGGGAAAACCCUGGGACACAUGCACAGGGUGAUGGAGAAGAAGCAGAAGACGGGUGAGGUGAUCGAGCUGACGGAAGAUGGGCGUCCCGCGCAAAUGAAAGAGAAGAAAGCGCCUCUGUGCGACUGCACGUGCUUCGGGCUCCCGCGCCGCUACAUCAUCGCCAUCAUGAGCGGCCUCGGCUUCUGCAUCUCGUUCGGGAUCCGCUGUAACCUCGGAGUCGCGAUCGUCGGCAUGGUCAACAACAGCACCAUUCACAAAGACGGCAAGAUCAUAAUCACAGAGAAAGCUAAGUUUAACUGGGAUCCGGAGACGGUGGGAAUGAUCCACGGCUCUUUUUUCUGGGGCUAUAUAGUGACACAGAUCCCAGGUGGAUACAUAUCCUCACGACUGGCUGCCAACAGGGUGUUUGGUGCUGCUAUCCUGCUGACGGCCACACUCAACAUGUUCAUCCCCUCGGCUGCACGAGUGCACUACGGCUGUGUCAUGUUCGUCAGGAUCCUGCAGGGCCUGGUGGAAGGUGUGACCUACCCAGCAUGCCAUGGAAUUUGGAGCAAGUGGGCUCCACCCCUUGAGAGAAGUCGCCUAGCAACCACCUCUUUUUGUGGUUCGUACGCGGGUGCUGUGAUCGCCAUGCCGCUGGCAGGAAUAUUAGUCCAGUACUCAGGAUGGUCUUCUGUCUUCUAUAUAUAUGGGUGUUUUGGGAUUUUCUGGUACAUGUUUUGGAUUCUGGUUUCAUAUGAGAGCCCAGCAGAUCAUCCCACCAUCACAGAUGAAGAGAGAACUUACAUAGAGGAGAGUAUUGGAGAAAGUGCCAAUCUACUUGGGCCGUCUGAGAAAUUCAAGACACCCUGGAGGAAGUUCUUCACCUCCAUGCCGGUCUAUGCAAUCAUUGUGGCCAACUUCUGCCGGAGCUGGACCUUCUAUCUGUUGCUCAUCAGUCAGCCGGCGUACUUUGAAGAAGUGUUUGGCUUUGAAAUCAGUAAGGUCGGUAUGCUCUCUGCUUUACCUCACCUGGUCAUGACCAUCAUCGUGCCAAUUGGUGGCCAACUGGCUGACUACCUGCGCAGAAAAAACAUCUUAUCCACCACCACCGUCAGGAAGAUCAUGAACUGCGGAGGGUUUGGAAUGGAGGCCACGCUGCUGUUAGUGGUUGGUUUCUCUCACAGCAAAGGUGUGGCCAUCUCAUUCCUGGUGCUAGCCGUUGGUUUUAGCGGAUUUGCUAUAUCAGGUUUUAAUGUCAACCACUUGGACAUUGCGCCAAGGUAUGCCAGCAUCCUGAUGGGCAUUUCUAAUGGAGUGGGCACACUUUCUGGUAUGGUCUGCCCUCUCAUUGUUGGGGCUAUGACCAAAAAUAAGACUCGUGAGGAAUGGCAGAACGUGUUCCUGAUCGCCUCACUGGUGCAUUACGGUGGCGUCGUGUUCUACGGGAUAUUCGCGUCCGGAGAAAAGCAGCCGUGGGCAGAUCCAGAGGAGACCAGCGAGGAGAAGUGUGGCUUCAUCGAUGAAGACGAGUUGGCGGAGGAGACCGGUGACAUCACGCUGAGCAGCGCUCCUUUCGGAGGCCAGGCCGGUCUUGGAGGCCCCGCCAAAACAUAUGGGGCCACAACACAGCUCAAUGGGGGAUGGGCGAAAAGCUGGGAGAAAUCCGAGGAAUACAUCCAGGAGGACGCCGAGCAGACGUAUAGAGGAGACGGGUACUCGUAGAUGUUUCAUUUCUAAUGAGUCAAAACAUAACAAAUCUUUUGAAAUAAGACAAAGUAAAAAAAGAAAUAAAGAGAGAUAUAAGUGAUUAUAGACGCAAUCCUCAACAAGCAUAUCUGUAGAGUCAGAGACGUCUUUUAAAAAGAGUCUUUGUCCAAUCUGAAGUAAAUAUAUAUAAAGAAAAUAUUUAAGAAGGAAUAAUGUAUUGAGAUAUAUAAAUGAGAAUAUACAGCUAAUUAGAUAGAAAAUAUCAUAUUUAGGAUUAUACAAAGGAUUUAUAUGGCUAAAUCAGUUUAAAGACAAUGUAAAUGUUUCUUUUAAAAGUACAGAUGUUCAAUUAUUACUGUGGUUUACAACAUUUAAUCAACUGACAAUAUUUAAUAGCACAGACAUCUGUAAUCAAAGCACAGGUCUUGGCUGUUUUUUUUUUUACAGGUUUUGUUUUAGUUUUGUAUCUGUAACUUUAAUAGAUGAGUAGUUGAGGACCAAUCAGAGUAGAGUAGAGUAGAGUAGAUUAACAUGUAAUUUUGUUCAAAAGAAACAAGUGUUUACUCUGGUUUAAAGAGCUCUUGCCAUUGACCUUACAGAAAAUAUGCAAAAUUUGGGUUCUUUGACUAUAUUAUAUAACUUAAACCUACAAAGAAUGCUGUUUAUCAUUAUGUUCAUGUACUGCAUUACACAUUAUAAACUGGUCCCUUUAAAUGGGACAUAAACCUAGAAGGUAGAGCAAAAAUAGACAACCGCUUGGUGCAGAAAGAAUCUAAUAGCACAAAUUUGCAAAUAUAACUGCUAUAUCUGAAACUCAUGUGUAUUAAAAUAAGUGUGAAAUAUAUUGAAAAACCUUUAAAUGUUUGAAACGUCCUAAAGUACACUUGAGAAAUUUUUAAAGUGCAAUCUUGUAUAAAUUGUUCAGCUACUUUUCAUCAACGAUACAUUCAAGUGUGUGUUUGGCAAUACAGUCCUGUAUUUUAAGUGGUAUUAAGCUGGUCUUCAUUUAAAAUGUUUCAUUUUAACCACCAUGUAAUGACAAACCAGACAUUUUGAUACUUUGAAUGCACUGACAUGUUGUUAUUUGAAAAGAAAAAAAAAAGUAAUUUCUCUCUCGAGUAUGUGUUUUGACAUGGAUUUACUGUUUCUGUGAGACUGUUGUGAAGCUGGGUCAGUGAUAUCUGUGCUUAUACUGUUUAUUGGGCCAUAUUUAUCAUAUAAACUGUCAUAAGAGCGAGGCGGUUCAUGUGGAAUGUGUAUUGUGAUGCAACUAUGGUCGAACCCUGAAUAAGGACCAGGUGAUCAUCUAACGAGUUUAACUGGCGCCAAAGCUGAUGUGAGUGAAUCUCACGAAACCUGUCAGGGACGAGUCUACAGGUCUUAUUUCACCUAUUUCAGUUAGUUUGUAUUUAUUAAAAAUUAAUAAAUGGUCAUUAAUUGCUCACCCUCAUCCUGUCCCUCAUCUUCGAAACACAAAUGAAGAUCAUUUACAUAAAAUCGGAGAGAUUUCUGUCCCUAAAUUGACAGCUCUGCAACUACCACUUUGAUGCUUCAUAAAUACAACUAAUCCGUAUGAAUUAAGUGGUUUAGUUCAAAAUGUCAGAAGAGACUUGAUCGCUUUAUAUGACGAACAGGUUUAAUUUAGUCUUUUGUUCACAUCACAUCAGUGAAUCAUCUACGAAUAUACUCGACACGAGAGAACAAACCUCAUUGGUAAACACCAUCAUUGGUUCUUGCAUGUCAAGCAAUCAUGUUUGAGCUUCUUUUUAACUUAACUGAUGUAUGAGUUGAUGAUUAUAUGUGAUUAAAAGCCUAAAUUCAAUGUGUUCAUCAUAUAAAGCGAUCGAGGAUAUUUGGACUGAACCACUUAACUCAAACGGAUUAGUUUAACGAUCUUUUUACGAACGUUUUUAUGCAUUAAAGUGGUAGUUGCAGAGCUGUCAAUGGAGGGACAGAAACGUCU